GCAUUCGGCCAUGUUACCCUGAACUUGCCUGAUCUUGUCUGAUCUUGGAAGCUAAGCAGGGUCAGGCCUGGUUAGUGCUUGGAUGGGAGACCACCUAGGAAUACCAGGUACUUUAGGCA
This is a ribosomal RNA of Pteropus vampyrus (large flying fox), 119 nucleotides long. The record is from Ensembl. Lineage: Eukaryota; Metazoa; Chordata; Mammalia; Chiroptera; Pteropodidae.